Molecule: ribosomal RNA, 504 nt
Filed under: uncultured bacterium
Lineage: Bacteria
Description: bacterial SSU rRNA
Rfam family: Bacterial small subunit ribosomal RNA
Source: RNAcentral
GACGAACGCUGGCGGUGUGCUUAACACAUGCAAGUGGUGCGACGAACCAGAGCUUGCUCUGGGGCAAAGCCGCGAACGGGUGAGUAACACGUGGGUAAUCUACCCCGAUGACCGGGACAACCCGAGGAAACUCGGGCUAAUACCGGAUGUGGUACGGAGACAUAAGUCUCUUUACUAAAGGUAGCUUCGGCUUCCGCAUUGGGAGGGGCCCGCGGCCCAUUAGCUAGUUGGUGGGGUCAAGGCCUACCAAGGCAACGAUGGGUAGCUGGUCUGAGAGGACGAUCAGCCACACUGGGACUGAGACACGGCCCAGACUCCUACGGGAGGCAGCAGUGGGGAAUCUUGCGCAAUGCGCGAAAGCGUGACGCAGCAACACCGCGUGAGGGAAGACGGGCCUUAGGGUUGUAAACCUCUUUCAGAUGGGACGAAGGUGAUGCGGUGAAUAGCCGAUGUCAUUGACGGUACGUCAGAAGAAGCUCCGGGCUAACUACGUGCCAGCAGCCG